UACGAAGGGGGCUAGCGUUGUUCGGAAUUACUGGGCGUAAAGCGCGCGCAGGCGGUUUUUCAAGUCAGUGGUGAAAGCCUGGAGCUCAACUCCAGAACUGCCUUUGAUACUGAGAAGCUUGAGUCCGGGAGAGGUGAGUGGAACUGCGAGUGUAGAGGUGAAAUUCGUAGAUAUUCGCAAGAACACCAGUGGCGAAGGCGGCUCACUGGCCCGGUACUGACGCUGAGGUGCGAAAGCGUGGGGAGCAAACAGG
RNAcentral lists this ribosomal RNA (253 nucleotides) under uncultured bacterium. Its description in RNAcentral is "partial 16S ribosomal RNA". It matches the Rfam family "Bacterial small subunit ribosomal RNA", at positions 524 to 776 of the family's 1533-position model. The record is from RNAcentral.